GAGGGUGUAGCUCAUUGGUAGGGUGUGUGCUCAGCAUGCACGAGGUCCUGGGUUCAAUCCCCAGUACCUCUG
RNAcentral lists this transfer RNA (72 nucleotides) under Camelus ferus (Wild Bactrian camel). It matches the Rfam family "tRNA". Rfam says of the family: Transfer RNA (tRNA) molecules are approximately 80 nucleotides in length. Their secondary structure includes four short double-helical elements and three loops (D, anti-codon, and T loops). Further hydrogen bonds mediate the characteristic L-shaped molecular structure. tRNAs have two regions of fundamental functional importance: the anti-codon, which is responsible for specific mRNA codon recognition, and the 3' end, to which the tRNAs corresponding amino acid is attached (by aminoacyl-tRNA synthetases). tRNAs cope with the degeneracy of the genetic code in two manners: having more than one tRNA (with a specific anti-codon) for a particular amino acid; and 'wobble' base-pairing, i.e. permitting non-standard base-pairing at the 3rd anti-codon position. The record is from Rfam by way of RNAcentral. Lineage: Eukaryota; Metazoa; Chordata; Mammalia; Artiodactyla; Camelidae.